RNAcentral lists this ribosomal RNA (939 nucleotides) under Triticum aestivum (bread wheat). RNAcentral describes it as "partial small subunit ribosomal RNA". The record is from RNAcentral. Lineage: Eukaryota; Viridiplantae; Streptophyta; Magnoliopsida; Poales; Poaceae.
AUUUCAGCUCCUGCAAGCUUAGGAAAGUCUCAUGUUCCACAUUUAGAAUGGAAGAUUCAUGACUUCUCAGCGCUACUUGAGACAGGAGCUACGUCGGCAAAAUCUUCUCAUUUUCACUACUCCGGGUAUAAGUGGUUCCUGAAAGUGAUACCAAUGCAUAAAAAACCUGGCGCUGAAACACCAUAUGUUGGUCUUUGUCUUAAGCUAGGCUCCAAAACCCUGGAGCCGUGUGACACGGUAAAUGCAGUGUUUGAGUUAUCAGUAUACAAUCGUGCAAAGAGGGUAUAUUGUGGACGCAGAGCUAGCCAUAACUUUGAUUUGAACAAUACACACUCGAAGAAUGAAUGUUUGAUUCCUCUUCAGGAGCUACUAAAAUCAUCUGCUUUUCUAGUUGAUGAUAGCUGUGUCUUUGGUGUUAAGAUAUUGAAAAUUAAAUUAUUUUCUACUGAAAAGAAGGCUGCUGUGGUUCCGAAGAAGGUUACCACAGUACAGAACCUUUUUAUCCAGAAGAAAGGGCUCAUCAAAGGGACCUACACCUGGACCAUGGACAACUACCAUGAAUUGGACUCGAAACGCUUUGUUUGUUCUCCUACAUUUGAAGCCGGUGGACAUAAAUGGCAUGUUGGCAUGUAUCCGCAUGGUCGCAGAAACAUCACCAACCAUGUCUCCUUGUUCUUAUACCUGGAGUCCUCGGAUAAGCUCUGUGACGAGUCUGGGAAGGUAGUUGAAUUGACUCUGUCCAUCUUGGACCAAAAGAACGGGAAACACUCCACCAUAACUUCAGCAGGUCUCUUGGUGUUUGGAGGUGAAAGCAGCUGGGGAUGGCCCAAGUUCCUUACAGUAAAAAAAUUCAAGAAUCCGUCGAGAGGCUAUGUUGUAGGAUCAAGAUGUGUCGUCAAGACAGAUUUCACUAUCGUUGGCUCAUCCAAUGAUGGAUAG